AUGAAAGUUGUAUGCUUAAUGGGUAAGUAUAGAAGACUUACUUGAAGCAAACAGAGUAUGUUCUAUAUUUAUACCCAACACAACUGCAUAAAGAUUGGUCUUCACUAAGCUCACUGUGAACAGAGUAACUACUUAUAUUUGUUUGAUUAAAUCUACAGACAAAUCGCUUCAACACUGACAACAGAAUUACAUUUGAGUACUUUAAAACUGAGAACUUAGUUUCUUGGAAGAUACCAUUCCUUAUCCAUUAGCAGGAUAGGAUAUUGACCACCACAAGUUACUCUCUCCUAAUAAAGAAGAGUAAUAUUCAAAGCACUAUUCAUGAUGGACACUGGGUGGGGGGGGGAGAGGAAGAGGGCAGGAGAGAUAAACUCUAGUCCUUCAUCAAAGCAUGUAUAAUUUUAUUCUUUAAAAUAUGAGCAUGUUUGGGCUAUUGCUUUGAUUCUUCAGUCUUCAUGCACGUGGCCCCUACUGCUGUAGAACUUUUCAAACCUGAAAAAUGACAUGGAUCUUGAGGCUUUCUACAUGAGCUUUAAAAAAAAAAAAAAAAUCGGGAAAAAGUAGCUAGAGCCUUAGAAUGUUAGAUGUUGCAGUUACUAUGUGGUCACUAUUCUUUCGUUCUCAAAAUGAUCGAACUCUGGAAGUUAGGCAGAAAACUCUUAUUAGAAAGUAAGAUAAAGAAUGGUUACUUACUUUACAGUUUAAGAUGUGUUUUCCAUACAGAUUCCUCUCUUGGUAAGCACAUGUCCCAUGUUAGAGAGAGAUCAGAUUAUUUUGAAAGGGAGAAUCCAGAGAAAUGCUUGUGACCUGAAUACCUUCUCAGUCCCUGUAGGUGAGGGCAUACAGGGUGUGAGCUGCAAACCUCACUCAUUUUCAUCACUGAGGAGCAAGACUCAAAUCAGUGGAUGUCAUAAUCAGGAGUGCUGCCCAGCACCUGGGGACUAAGGGGUUAACUCUGUACCUAGCAAGGUAUCAGGUAGUCAGCCAAUAUCACUUGCAGACAGGAAUGUCAAACUGGAAGAGUUUUUUUUUCUUCUUUGUUUGAGAUUCAGAGUAGUUUUCUUCCAAGUACUGAGGGAGAUGGGAGACACUCUUCUCUCCAAGAACGGACUCCUUAGAAUGUUCAACUUGUGGAACUCCUUGCCCAGAGGAUGUGAAGGCUAAGAGUAGCAGGGCUCAAAAAAAGAAUUAGAUGCGGCUAAUCAGCAAUCCAGCUGCUGUUACUGGAAAAAGAUUCGUCAUAAUAUGGCACCUGGUUUCCAAAGACUGAACCCCAAAGGGAUGAAAAAAUAAUGCAAGAGCUUUAUUUCUAUGAGAACAAAAACAAAUAAAAAGACAACACUUUACACAAGACAUUUAUUAAGUCCUGGUGUGGAAGAUAUAUACUGCUUUUGAUAAUAUCAUAGCACAAAAUUAGUCGUGAGCUAGGAAUAAGAAAGGAAGCCUAACUCUUGGUCCUCUGUGAUAAGACAUUAAACCACACUGCUAUUCUAGAAAUAAUUCAAGUCAACAACACAGGAGGUUUAGGAUAAAAUUUUCAUGAGAGAUUAAAAUGAGUUAGCAUCCUAGGGUCCUGUGUCUGUUGGCAGACCUCAGGCUUCUAAACCACUUAACAGAUGUAUGAAAAUGUUACCCUUAGUAUUUUGUUUUAAAAAGUAAAGAGCUAAAGAUUCAAAGUGUACAUUUGCUUUAAAUAUUUAGCAUUUCAAAACUUAUAGUGUAAAUAUGAAAACUUAACAUGAAUGAUGGCAGGAGA
Molecule: long non-coding RNA, 1756 nt
Organism: Pelodiscus sinensis (Chinese soft-shelled turtle)
Lineage: Eukaryota; Metazoa; Chordata; Testudines; Trionychidae
Source: RefSeq, a predicted model, not a curated record